RNAcentral lists this long non-coding RNA (239 nucleotides) under Brassica napus (rape). RNAcentral's name for it is "long non-coding RNA (BNAP_LNC019549)". Lineage: Eukaryota; Viridiplantae; Streptophyta; Magnoliopsida; Brassicales; Brassicaceae. The record is from RNAcentral.
CUGAUACCACAUGUAAAACAUGAUUUUACAUGAACCCUAAGAUCUUUAACAUCUAGACUAAUCACAUAAUAGAAUUAUAAGAAAGUUUUUCGGAAUACCUCGAUUCAUGACUGCAGAAAUUUUCUUGAACGGUUAUGAUCAUGGAAGAUCAUUUCAUGAACUUUAAGUUGGAGUUAACCCUUCUCUCCCCAAGAUGAUCUCUUGAUCUUUUAGUUGGAGUUAGAUCUUCUCUCCCCUUG